CCUACGGGUGACAGCAGUGAGGAAUAUUGGUCAAUGGACGCAAGUCUGAACCAGCCAUGCCGCGUGCAGGAAGACGGCUCUAUGAGUUGUAAACUGCUUUUGUACGAGGGUAAACGCAGAUACGCGUAUCUGUCUGCAAGUAUCGUACGAAUAAGGAUCGGCUAACUCCGUGCCAGCAGCCGCGGUAAUACGGAGGAUUCAAGCGUUAUCCGGAUUUAUUGGGUUUAAAGGGUGCGUAGGCGGUGGGAUAAGUUAGGGGUGAAAUCCCGAGGCUCAACUUCGGAAUUGCCUCUGAUACUGAUCGGCUAGAGAGUAGGUGCGGUAGGCGGAAUGUAUGGUGUAGCGGUGAAAUGCUUAGAGAUCAUACAGAACACCGAUUGCGAAGGCAGCUUACCAAGCUACGUCUGACGUUGAGGCACGAAAGCGUGGGGAGCAAACAGGAUUAGAUACCCCAGUAGUC
This 460-nucleotide ribosomal RNA is filed under the name uncultured bacterium. Its description in RNAcentral is "partial 16S ribosomal RNA". It matches the Rfam family "Bacterial small subunit ribosomal RNA", at positions 338 to 795 of the family's 1533-position model. The record is from RNAcentral.